GACGAACCGUGCGAACGUUAUUCGGAAUCACUGGGCUUAAAGCGCGUGUAGGCGGAUGGGGACGUCGGUUGCUGAAAUCCCCCGGCUCAACCGGGGAAGUGGCGCCGAAACGCCCCGUCUGGAGGGACGUAGGGGGACCUGGAACUUCCGGUGGAGCGGUGAAAUGCGUUGAGAUCGGAAGGAACGCCCGUGGCGAAAGCGAGGUCCUGGACGUUUUCUGACGCUGAGACGCGAAAGCUAGGGUAGCGAACGGG
Molecule: ribosomal RNA, 254 nt
Filed under: uncultured bacterium
Lineage: Bacteria
Description: partial 16S ribosomal RNA
Rfam family: Bacterial small subunit ribosomal RNA
Source: RNAcentral